RNAcentral lists this ribosomal RNA (614 nucleotides) under Curvularia lunata. RNAcentral's name for it is "partial large subunit ribosomal RNA". It matches the Rfam family "Eukaryotic large subunit ribosomal RNA", at positions 37 to 668 of the family's 3401-position model. The record is from RNAcentral. Lineage: Eukaryota; Fungi; Ascomycota; Dothideomycetes; Pleosporales; Pleosporaceae.
UGCAUAUCAAAAGCGGAGGAAAAGAAACCAACAGGGAUUGCCCUAGUUACGGCGAGUGAAGCGGCAACAGCUCAAAUUUGAAAUCUGGCUCUUUCAGAGUCCGAGUUGUAAUUUGCAGAGGGCGCUUUGGCUUUGGCAGCGGUCCAAGUUCCUUGGAACAGGACGUCACAGAGGGUGAGAAUCCCGUACGUGGUCGCUAGCUAUUGCCGUGUAAAGCCCCUUCGACGAGUCGAGUUGUUUGGGAAUGCAGCUCUAAAUGGGAGGUAAAUUUCUUCUAAAGCUAAAUAUUGGCCAGAGACCGAUAGCGCACAAGUAGAGUGAUCGAAAGAUGAAAAGCACUUUGGAAAGAGAGUCAAACAGCACGUGAAAUUGUUGAAAGGGAAGCGCUUGCAGCCAGACUUGCUUGCAGUUGCUCAUCCGGGCUUUUGCCCGGUGCACUCUUCUGUAGGCAGGCCAGCAUCAGUUUGGGCGGUGGGAUAAAGGUCUCUGACACGUUCCUUCCUUCGGGUUGGCCAUAUAGGGGAGACGACAUACCACCAGCCUGGACUGAGGUCCGCGCAUCUGCUAGGAUGCUGGCGUAAUGGCUGUAAGCGGCCCGUCUUGAACACGGACCC